GAUGAACGCUAGCUACAGGCUUAACACAUGCAAGUCGAGGGGCAGCGGUAUCGAAAGCUUGCUUUCGGUAGCCGGCGACCGGUGCACGGGUGAGUAACGCGUAUCGAACCUGCCUCAUACUCGGGAAUAGCCUUGCGAAAGUAAGAUUAAUGCCCGGUGUUUUCAGAGUCCCGCAUGAGGCUUUGAACAAAGAUUUAUCGGUAUGAGAUGGCGAUGCGUCCCAUUAGCUUGUUGGCGGGGUAACGGCCCACCAAGGCAUCGAUGGGUAGGGGUUCUGAGAGGAAGGUCCCCCACAUUGGAACUGAGACACGGUCCAAACUCCUACGGGAGGCAGCAGUGAGGAAUAUUGGUCAAUGGGCGGAAGCCUGAACCAGCCAAGUAGCGUGCAGGAAGACGGCCCUCCGGGUUGUAAACUGCUUUUAGUUGGGAAUAAAACGGGGCUCGUGAGCCCCCUUGCAUGUACCAUCAGAAAAAGGACCGGCUAAUUCCGUG
RNAcentral lists this ribosomal RNA (492 nucleotides) under uncultured bacterium. RNAcentral describes it as "partial 16S ribosomal RNA". It matches the Rfam family "Bacterial small subunit ribosomal RNA", at positions 28 to 507 of the family's 1533-position model. The record is from RNAcentral.